Molecule: ribosomal RNA, 503 nt
Filed under: uncultured bacterium
Lineage: Bacteria
Description: partial 16S ribosomal RNA
Rfam family: Bacterial small subunit ribosomal RNA
Source: RNAcentral
AACGAACGCUGGCGGCGUGCCUAACACAUGCAAGUCGAACGAGAAAGGGGCUUCGGCUCCGAGUAAAGUGGCGCACGGGUGUGUAACACGUGGGUAACCUGCCUCUAAGAUUGGGAUAACUCGUCGAAAGAUGAGCUAAUACCGAAUAAGACCACAGUUCCCGCGGGAACAGGGGUCAAAGGUAGCCUCUGCUUGCAAGCUAUCACUUAGAGAUGGGCCUGCGCACCAUUAGCUAGUUGGUAGGGUAACGGCCUACCAAGGCAAAGAUGGUUAGCUGGUCUGAGAGGAUGGUCAGCCACACUGGAACUGAGACACGGUCCAGACUCCUACGGGAGGCAGCAGUGGGGAAUAUUGCGCAAUGGGCGAAAGCUUGACGCAGCAACGCCGCGUGAGUGAUGAAGGCCUUCGGGUCGUAAAGCUCUGUCGGGAGGAACGAAUGCUCCUGAGGUUAACAGCCUCGGGAGGUGACGGUACCUGCAAAGGAAGCACCGGCUAACUCUGUG